GAUGAACGCUGGCGGCGUGCCUAAUACAUGCAAGUCGAGCGAACAGACGAGGAGCUUGCUCCUCUGACGUUAGCGGCGGACGGGUGAGUAACACGUGGAUAACCUACCUAUAAGACUGGGAUAACUUCGGGAAACCGGAGCUAAUACCGGAUAAUAUAUUGAACCGCAUGGUUCAAUAGUGAAAGACGGUUUUGCUGUCACUUAUAGAUGGAUCCGCGCCGCAUUAGCUAGUUGGUAAGGUAACGACUUACCAAGGCAACGAUGCGUAGCCGACCUGAGAGGGUGAUCGGCCACACUGGAACUGAGACACGGUCCAGACUCCUACGGGAGGCAGCAGUAGGGAAUCUUCCGCAAUGGGCGAAAGCCUGACGGAGCAACGCCGCGUGAGUGAUGAAGGUCUUCGGAUCGUAAAACUCUGUUAUUAGGGAAGAACAAAUGUGUAAGUAACUAUGCACGUCUUGACGGUACCUAAUCAGAAAGCCAGGGCUAACUACGUG
This 497-nucleotide ribosomal RNA is filed under the name uncultured bacterium. RNAcentral's name for it is "partial 16S ribosomal RNA". It matches the Rfam family "Bacterial small subunit ribosomal RNA", at positions 28 to 507 of the family's 1533-position model. The record is from RNAcentral.